UCAGAUGGGCCCGCGUCCCAUCAGCUAGUUGGUAAGGUAAAGGCUUACCAAGGCGACGACGGGUAGCCGGUCUGAGAGGAUGUACGGCCACACUGGGACUGAGAUACGGCCCAGACUCCUACGGGAGGCAGCAGUUGGGAAUCUUAGGCAAUGGGCGAAAGCCUGACCUAGCGACGCCGCGUGAGGGAAGAAGGCCUUCGGGUCGUAAACCUCUGUCAUGGGGGACGAAGGAAGUGACGGUACCCCAAGAGGAAGCCCCUGCUAACUACGUGCCAGCAGCCGCGGUAAUACGUAGGGGGCGAGCGUUAUCCGGAAUUAUUGGGCGUAAAGGGCGAGUAGGCGGUCUGUUAAGUCAGGUGUGAAAUUUCAGGGCUCAACCCUGAAACUGCGCUUGAAACUGGCAGGCUAGAGGACAGGAGAGGGAAGUGGAAUUCCCGGUGUAGCGGUGGAAUGCGUAGAUAUCGGGAGGAACACCAGUGGCGAAGGCGGCUUCCUGGACUGUACCUGACGCUGAGGAGCAAAAGCUGGGGGAGCAAACAGGAUUAGAUACCCUGGUAGUCCCAGCUGUAAACGAUGAGUGCUAGGUGUGGAGGGCUACAAUCCUCCGUGCCGCAGUUAACGCAAUAAGC
RNAcentral lists this ribosomal RNA (629 nucleotides) under uncultured bacterium. RNAcentral's name for it is "bacterial SSU rRNA". It matches the Rfam family "Bacterial small subunit ribosomal RNA", at positions 221 to 865 of the family's 1533-position model. The record is from RNAcentral.